CUCCACUUUUAUUAAGUAUUUAU
This 23-nucleotide small nuclear RNA is filed under the name Arabidopsis thaliana (thale cress). Its description in RNAcentral is "snRNA_03847". Lineage: Eukaryota; Viridiplantae; Streptophyta; Magnoliopsida; Brassicales; Brassicaceae. The record is from RNAcentral.